AUUGAACGCUGGCGGCAGGCCUAACACAUGCAAGUCGAGCGGAUGAAGGGAGCUUGCUCCUGGAUUCAGCGGCGGACGGGUGAGUAAUGCCUAGGAAUCUGCCUGGUAGUGGGGGAUAACGUCCGGAAACGGGCGCUAAUACCGCAUACGUCCUGAGGGAGAAAGUGGGGGAUCUUCGGACCUCACGCUAUCAGAUGAGCCUAGGUCGGAUUAGCUAGUUGGUGGGGUAAAGGCCUACCAAGGCGACGAUCCGUAACUGGUCUGAGAGGAUGAUCAGUCACACUGGAACUGAGACACGGUCCAGACUCCUACGGGAGGCAGCAGUGGGGAAUAUUGGACAAUGGGCGAAAUCCUGAUCCAGCCAUGCCGCGUGUGUGAAGAAGGUCUUCGGAUUGUAAAGCACUUUAAGUUGGGAGGAAGGGCAGUAAGUUAAUACCUUGCUGUUUUGACGUUACCAGCAGAAUAAGCACCGGCUAACUUCGUG
RNAcentral lists this ribosomal RNA (484 nucleotides) under uncultured bacterium. RNAcentral describes it as "partial 16S ribosomal RNA". It matches the Rfam family "Bacterial small subunit ribosomal RNA", at positions 30 to 507 of the family's 1533-position model. The record is from RNAcentral.